Molecule: long non-coding RNA, 1373 nt
Organism: Onychostoma macrolepis
Lineage: Eukaryota; Metazoa; Chordata; Actinopteri; Cypriniformes; Cyprinidae
Exons: 3
Source: RefSeq, a predicted model, not a curated record
CUGUGUUCUGCCUUGGUUUCUCCGGGGCUUUUCUCCAUGAUACUUAAACACAUGAUAAAGGAGGUCAUUAAUGUCCCAAAAUGAUCAAUAACUCAUUUUCGACCAAAAACGAAGUUGGUGUUCUGUCUUUGCAUGGCAGCACUGCUGUCACUAUAGAGGGGCGUGGUUUCAGCUCAGCUUCACCCACGUCCCGCCUUUUUGCCCAUUUUCGAUUAUCCGGGAGUGACUCGCGGUGACGCGCUUCCAAGAUGGCGGCGGUCGGCUCCGCCCACUUUAGGCUUCAAAAACGCUUUACAGAAACCUACGGGUGACGUCACGGACACUACGUCCAUUUUUUUUUACAGUCUAUGGUUAAUACCCAUCUCCAGCUACUGGCCCUACUGUUGCUAUUUUUUACCACAGCACAACUCUGAAUAGACGACUCGGAAAAUAAAAUACUGAUAUGAUGACCACAUCAGCUACUGAAAGAGCUUACAGGUGGCGAUUGAUAUAAGUAUAGGUUUAAACCAAAUGCUGUACCAUCGUUUUUUUCCCCACAAGGAGUGUAAACACCCCGGAUAUCGAGAGAAACCCGCGCUCUCUAGCGGCCGCGCGUCGGCAUGUUUCCAUCUAGCGUUUUGUUUCAGCCGUUUGUAAGCUCAAAGGCAUCAGGGCUAAAGUGGAAAGAACAAAGAAGGUCUUUAUGAAGUUUUAUUCGUCCACAGGCAUUCCCAUUCUUUUCUCCUCUUCUUAUCGCUAGGAAAACAGUGUCUUACAUCGCUUCUUUUGUUGCCCUUCGACUGAAAAUUACAACCAAAAGUCUCACAAUGUGGUAUAUCAGUAUUUUAUUUUCUGAGUUGUGUUGCGGUAAAAAGCGCCAGUAGCUCACUGAGUGGAGAGGGGUCUGUCUGCGGAUUGCAAGAGAGGGGCGUAACUUGAAGGGGGCGUAACGUGAAGCAGGAGGCGUAACUUGAAGUUGUUCAAAUCACACAGAACCACGCGAGAUGUUGAAACGAGAUGUUUUUUGGCAAGAUGGCCGCUCGCACAGAGACAACGCUUCAUCCAACGGUUUGUAGGGAAGGUACAUUAAAAAAUCCCAUUUCUGAAGGCCCGAACUACAAAUGCCAGUUCUGCAGCAAAAUAGGAGAGUAUGCAUAUGUUGCGGCACAUAUGCAAACCCACGAGAAGACCGCUGUUAAACAUGGAGGGUAUAAAAUGUACAGAUGCCACGGUGUUUGUUCCAAAAGCUGUCAUUAUCACUGCUGCUAUUGUGCGAGGAUUAUAACUCGGCAAAAUGUAUUUUUGAACCAUGUGCAGAAAUGUGGGUUAGCUGACGUGUCAACAGGUCCUUGUGUCUGCGCCCCCUCCAGCGUGUGUGCAACCUCCAGCGUCUG